GAUGAAGAACGUAGCAAAAUGCGAUAAGUAAUGUGAAUUGCAGAAUUCAGUGAAUCAUCGAAUCUUUGAACGCACAUUGCGCCCGCCAGUAUUCUGGCGGGCAUGCCUGUUCGAGCGUCAUUUCAACCCUCAAGCACAGCUUGGUGUUGGGACUCGCGUUAAAUCGCGUUCCCCAAAUUGAUUGGCGGUCACGUCGAGCUUCCAUAGCGUAGUAGUAAAACCCUCGUUACUGGUAAUCGUCGCGGCCACGCCGUUAAACCCCAACUUCUGAAUGUUGACCUCGGAUCAGGUAGGAAUACCCGCUGAACUUAAGCAUAUCAAUAAGCGGAGGA
This 332-nucleotide unclassified non-coding RNA is filed under the name soil metagenome. Its description in RNAcentral is "partial contains 5.8S ribosomal RNA, internal transcribed spacer 2, and large subunit ribosomal RNA". The stretch from base 1 to 120 matches the Rfam family "5.8S ribosomal RNA", at positions 35 to 154 of the family's 154-position model. The record is from RNAcentral.